This is a long non-coding RNA of Pantherophis guttatus, 536 nucleotides long. RefSeq lists it as uncharacterized. The record is from RefSeq and is a predicted model, not a curated record. NCBI's taxonomy places the organism in Eukaryota, Metazoa, Chordata, Lepidosauria, Squamata, Colubridae.
CACCAUCCUCUGACUGCUGCAGCUGUUCAGGUGAUAUCUGUGUUUGGCCAGCAUCAGCUUCCUAUUCUUUCUUAUUAUGCUGGUUGGGGACACUGGAGAUUUCAAUCCUAUUUCAUCUGCUGGGCAUCGAGUUAGGGAGACUGUUGUAGAUUUAUCACAUAUCUCAAGUGAGGAGCCUCAUACAGUCAAAAGUUACCAAAACUGCACAUGAGCAAGAGAUGGUGAAGAUUUACAGAUAUACCAGACCUUUUCCAUCAAUAUUUUACUUUCAGUACCUUAGAAAUGAGAAUCUCUGUUCUAUACUUAUGUAUGGAGAACUGUGAGCAAAGCCAUGUGGUUGUAUUCUACCUAAAACUUCCUUUUUACGACAGGGGUAGAGUCAGAGCAACUAGCUAGAUCUGAGCAUUUACUGGCCGGAUGCCCUUCCUGAUGCCUAUGCGGAGUUCACAGCAGAUAUUUUCUCUGUGCACCCUAAGAGAGAAACAGGAACUCAAACCAUGUGAUCCUGUCCACCAUUAAACCAUUUUUCCAAGCAA